UUGCUCACGCUAUAACAGAUAGGUGCACCCCAUACAGAAACAGACAGUCGAUAUAAUCGACAACAAUCAUCAGAAAUCACGCGAUAUUAAUCAGACAGUGGGGCGCCGUCUGAUCCACUAGUUGCAUGUGAACAGUAUGGGUGCUUAAAGCCACUGUUCUGGCCUUUUGUACCAACCUUGGUGGAACAACAGGCAACAACUGUGGGCUGACAGGGAAUCAUAGUGCCUGGUCAUCUGGCAGCUUUUCGGAGUGCUGCUGCUCUGUUGGCUGCUGGGCUGAUGUGAGACUUCCCAAAGCAAUGGAUGGCAGACACAAGACUUGAUGGAUUGCCUUUAAUUACAUUAAAUUGCUUCGCCAUUGCCUCCAGUGCCUCACUGAAGUUGUCAUCGAUACUCAGCCUAUUUAAGUCAUCCAGCAUUCCAGCAACCAGGCAAACCUGCAGCUUCACAGUCAAACGGGUUUGUCAAGGCUAGGAUGCAAGGAGUUAUUCAACCAGAAGUCUAGUAUGUAUGUUUUUAUUUUAAGUAACUAUUAAAAUGUACUGUAUGUGAUUCAACAAUUAAAUAACGGUCCUGCUCCGCUUUUAAGCAAGCUUAAAAAAUGUAACCUCCUAAAAGUCAGGCAGAGUUCUGGAUACAAGGGUUGACAUUUGAUUUAUAAAAACAUGUGUGGUAACUGCCUUGUUGGUUUACAUUGUUGAUAUUCAAGUAAGCAGAUUUCUUGAUUCUGGAUCACUGGUAGAAGCUUGAAAUAAUGUGUACACUUGAUUUUCCUUCACUAAAGCCUUAAUUCUGUUUAGAUGAAGCAGGUGGACUUGGCAGAGUUCCAUACAUGGCUGUGGCUGCCAAGAAGGUGGCCAUUGAGGUAAAGGGCAUGCCAGGUGGGAUAGAGUUUUUUAAAAAGCCCUCCCACUAUGGCAUGGACCAACUAUCUACCAUUUCGGAGGCAGGCGGUGGCAUCAAGUUCACAAUAAGUAAGAUGCAAGGCUUUCAACAAUGUUUCAAUGGAGAAUUGUAAUGUCUUGGUCAUUGAGAUGAACAACAUUGACAUGUACAGGACAUUCCCUUUGAACAGAUACCCAUUGUGGCCAUUGCUCUCAUUAAAGGCAACGGUGGGCUUUGCUAUAAAUGGCCAUCCACCACUUGUUGUCUUUUGGGCCAAUGUGUCUGCUGAUUUUGAAAAUAGUCAUUUCAGAAUUAGAAAUUGGGUAAAUUUGUGUGAGCUCAUUUACCACACUACAUAAUGGAUGAGGUGUUUCAAGUGCAGACAGUAAAUUAAAAACACAUCUGUUUGUCAUUUGUUCAAAAUGUACUGUAAAUGUAGCCAACAAGUCAACCUGUAUUUUGUCUUUUAUGAAGAACAUACUUUAUUACUUUACACUUUAUUACUUUACAAUUUAUCACUUUGUAAUUGUCUGUAUUUUUUUCAGUCAUACAACAUGCAUCCUUGCAGUUGCAAUGAACUCCAUUAUUACUUAUCCAUGAUGAAUAGUUUUUUAAUAAAUGGUUUUUAAACAUU
Oncorhynchus nerka (sockeye salmon) is the source of this 1519-nucleotide long non-coding RNA. RefSeq lists it as uncharacterized. NCBI's taxonomy places the organism in Eukaryota, Metazoa, Chordata, Actinopteri, Salmoniformes, Salmonidae. The transcript is spliced from 3 exons. The record is from RefSeq and is a predicted model, not a curated record.